AUUUCCAUAAUCCCCUCAAAUCCUUUUCACACCAUUCCCUUCCUCUCCUAUAAUACCCUGAGAAAUCACGCGGAAUCUUUCCUGAUUUCAUGAGUAAUCCUUCCUUCUUUGUCCAAUGAUUCUCCUUUCUUCUUCCUCUUUCCCCGUUUCUCUCUACGUUUUUCUCUCAAAUCUCAUCUAUGAAACAAAUCUUUUUCCUUUUUCCUCUCCGAUUUCAUACCAUCUUCGUCCAAGUCGUUUCAUUUUCGUCUCUCAACCUCAGAAUACCUUCGUAAAAAUAAAUCUGUCAUUUUUCUCUCCAAAUUUCUGCUCUCCACCGUCACAAAUAUUUUCAAUUUUCUCUCCGAACUCGUAUCUCCCUCCUUCGUUUUGUUGACGACUUUGUUUCCACACGCUGAUUCCGAAACCUUCUCCUUCGCCUCUUUGGUUUCGCUGAAUGGCUGGGCUUCCACCUUACCUCUAAAAAUCUUUCUUGCAUGUUCGAAGAGGAUUCUCGGUGAACAUGCAAGGAUUUCUUCCUUGCCGCUCGGACUUCCCCUUUGCCACUUCUACAUGUGUAUCGAGACCAGUUAAAUGCUACAUCCGGAGAAUGGUAAGGACAUCGAAAAUGUCUGAGCACGAUAGGGAUGAAGGUUCUUCUCGGUUUGAUUCGAAAUCCUUUAUAGCCAAUGAUGAGAAGACAACUACUGCAGAAUUAUCACAAUAAAUUCUCAACAGCUUGGCAAUACUGUCGAUAAUUUCAAGUCGUGAGAUAAAGUUCUGCAACCAUAAAAUAUGAAUUAUAGCCUCAAAGCAUGCUACAAAUUCAACCUCCAUAUAGUGGAUGCAAUGACAAUACACUGCUUCGCACAUUUUUAUGAAAUUGCUCAUUUAGUUAAUAGGAACAAAUAGCCAAAAGUGGAUUUUCAUGUAUCCACACACUCGGCAAAAUCUAAAUCUGAAUAUAACCAAUCACCUCUAGAUGAUCAGAUCUCUUGAAAGUAAGCAUAUAGAACAAGGAUUAUAAUUAAACUUAAUCCCACUGAUCGUUAGGUAUAUACAAUAAUCAACGAUGUUUUCUUUAAAGCUAAAAGAUGUGAUGGUAUCAUUGUAAAAUACCAUCGUGUGGAAGCUUGUUUAAUUCUAUAUAUUGACCUCUUUAAUUUACACACCAUAUGUUUCUUUCCUUCAACGAUAAAACCUUCUAGUUGAUCCAUGAACAUUUCUUCAUCUAAAUUCCCAUUUAGAAAGGCAGUUUUCGCUUCAAUUUGAUGAACCUCUAAAUCAUAUUAAGCUACUAAAGCAAUAAUAAUUCUUAAUGAGUCCAUUUUCGAGAUAGGAGAAAAGGUCUCUUUGUAGUCAAUGUCAUCUUUCUGAGUAUAACAUUUGCAACAAGUUUAGCCUUGUGUCGUCUGAUAUUGCCAUUUGAGUCAAGUUUGGUCUUAAAGAUCCAUUUACACCCAACUCUUUUGCUUUCCUUUAGGCAAAUCUACAAGGUCCUAGACUUCAUUAUCAUUCAUUGAUUUUAACUCUUCUUUCAUAGCAUCUAACCAUUUGACAGAAUUAUCUUCUUUAAUGGCUUGUGAAAACAAAACUAUAUCAUUUAUUAAUAUUUAAGUCAAAUUUCGACUCAUGCAAAUAAGCCACAUAGUCAUAAGAAAUAGCUGAUCUUCUUUGUCUUACAAAUCUUCUUAACUCUAUUUCUUGUGGUUCCUCAGUUACAGGUUCAUUUGUUAUAACAUCAUUAUGUGGUGUUUAACCAUUAAUUUGUUCUUUUUGUGGAUUGUUAAUAGAGUCAACAACUUGAGAAGAAGUUAUAGAUGAAGGAAUUUAUACCCUAACUUCUUGAAUUUUCACUUUACGUGGUUCCAAACUCUCACUAAUUACGUCAUUCUCAAUGAACCUUACAUUUUAAGUUUCAACUAUUCAUAUAGUAUGGUUAGGACAAUAAACUCUAUACCCUUUUGAUUUAUCUAGAUAACCAAUAAAGAAACCGCUAGUUCUUCUACUUCCGCUUGACAACCCCAAACAUGCAGGUAUAUCUUGAACUCACCUCAACUCUUAUUAAGACAAUUCCCUAUCCCUUAACCCUAUGUGCACCCUUCCUUUUUCUUAAGAAUCUAUCCCUGCAGGUUCAAAGAAUAUUGAUAUUUUCUAUAAAAUAUAAACUUAUCUAAGCACUCAAAGCAAUACUGAAAUAAGGAAAGACAUAUCACUUUUCUUUUUCUCCUUACUUAGUCCAACCCUUGGCUUUAGUUCUAUCAACUAUGCUAUGAGUGGAUGAAAGAAAUAAGAUCCUAACAAGGUAAAUCUCCUAUUUCAUGAGGGGACUAUUAUAUAGACAAAAAGCCUAGCCCCUAAAUUAAGAGACAAUAACCGAGGAAAUUAAGAGCACAAAAGUUGGAAGGUAUUUACCUUAUUUUUGAUGGAAAGAGAUAGUCAGCAGAGGUCGUCAAAGACAAAUGAAGGUCAGUAGAGGAUGUGAAACUUAAGAUCUACAAUAUGGUGGAGCAAUUAUUCGGGUCAACAAUUAUAUUUCAGAGUUUAAAAUGAUGAAAAGAGUUUAUAUACUGAGAAUGAUAUUCCACUCAAUGCUUUCACCAUAAAAACGAAGUUGAAAAAAUGAAGAAGAAGACUAACCUCGAAUCAUUAGCUUCAAGUGUCUAAUAGAAGUAGAGAGACGAGUUGGUAGACAAAAAAUCCUAAGCAAAACCCAUAUGGAAGACGAUGAGAGAUUAGAUGAAAUCGAGAGAUCGUAAGUCCGAGAGAUUGUAACGCCCCAAGUUAAGGUAAUUUGUAUUGAUUAUCUUAAGUUAAAAUUUUUGAAAUCUUCGGUGUUAUUUAAAUUCUGUUAUUUAAUUUGAAACUUAUUAGAUAUUGUGGAAAAAUAUCUAAUUGUUUGUAUUUGAGAGAAUGUGAUAAAUUAUAUUUGAUUGUAUAAUUAAUUGUUAAUAGAAGUUAGAAUAUUCAUGAAGUAGGUAGUAUGGUUAUGUAAGGAUAGUUGUUUUGGAAAAAGACAUUUUGUGGAGAGAGAGAAAGAAAUUUAAAAAUAAUAAUUAUAUAAUGGAAAAUAUAAUUAUUAUUUGGAAAAAGAUAAUUAUGAUAUUUAUUGAGAGAAAGGUUGAUGUGAUUGGUGGAAGUAUUGGUUUAAAAAGGGAGAUUUGGUGGGUUUUAAUUAAAGAGAGUGAAGAUUUGAUUGUUUUGAAAUAAAAUAAAUAAUAGGAAAAAGGGAAAAUAAUAAUAGUUUUUUUUAUUAUUUAAUAGGCCUCGGGAACAUCAACCUUCUUCAUUGAGAAACAAAAGAGAAAAGGAAAUCCUAAAUUUUUUUCCAAACCCUAGCCGCCGUCGCCUAGCUCCUCCGCCACGCCGCCACCGUUCUCCUCCAGGUGUAGUUCCGUCACAGCUGAGCCUUGUCGACCAUCGCACGUCCCAGCCGUUUGACAGCCGAUCGUCUGCGUCGUUCCGUCGCUCGCUGUCGCAAGGCAAGUCAUUAGCCGUCGUCUUCAGCCAGGUAGAUUCAUCAAGCGGUCAGCGUCCCGUCGCAAUCCAUCGUCAAUCAUCAUUCGUCGCCUCGUUUUGUUGUCGACCGUCGGAGAUCGCCGCAACUCGAGCUGCGCUGCGUGUCGUCAGAAGACCGAACGCCCAUUCUCUGCGAACCCGACCCGUGCCUUCGCCCAAGCCUGCGCCAACCGCGCGUGCCUUAGUCGAGCUGCACGCCUGCGCCAGCUGCCUUUACCCAAGCCGCUUCAAAGCCUUAGACGAGCCAUCCUUGUUUUCCUAGCAAUUUGAGCCACUUAACCUAUUUUGGUCAAUUGAGGGAUUGAACCGAAGAUUUUUCUCAAACCAAGGAUAAAUUUGGAAUAUUCUUCAACUUUGGGGCUUGAUUGUUGAGGAGCUUGAUCGUGACUGUUAGGAAAAUUUUGCUAUGAGCUAAUCUCCAAACAUGAUUUGAGAGAUCUGACGGGAUUGCUCACGCUCGUGACUGCGUAGUCCGACGGAACCACCAGUCUGACAUUGACAUUGACAUUGACAUAGACAUGAUUUGAGUGAUUCAACGGGAUCACUUACAGCCCGAUCGUCUUAGGUGUUUCCUUGGGUUCACCAAAGACCAGCUUGUUCCUACGGGAUCACAGAUUGCACGUGUUCGGGAACGUGCUAAUUCAGGGGCAGAGGAAGAGGUAAGAGCAAAGGCAAGCUGGCGAAUGACCAGAAGUGACCGUGGCGAGCCAUAUGGAUACGUUUACUUCCGCUUACGUCAUGUGUUAGAUUUUAGAGUUGAUAUUUCCUUUCAUUUUAUUCUAUUUUAUUUAUUUCUUUGUUUUUCUUUCUCUUUAAAACUAGUAGGGUCUGAGAUAGGAUUUGUUUUAAUUUAUUUCCGUACAUUCUAUUUAUGAUUUUAAUGACAAUUCGUAGUUUUGUUUUA
This is a long non-coding RNA of Cucumis melo (muskmelon), 4402 nucleotides long. RefSeq lists it as uncharacterized. The record is from RefSeq and is a predicted model, not a curated record. The transcript is spliced from 6 exons. NCBI's taxonomy places the organism in Eukaryota, Viridiplantae, Streptophyta, Magnoliopsida, Cucurbitales, Cucurbitaceae.